AUGCUCACUUCAGCAGCACAUACACUAAAAUUGGAAUGAUACAGAGGUUAGCAUGGCUCCUUCAUAAGGUGACACACAAAUUUGUAAUAUGUUCAAAGAGAAA
Molecule: small nuclear RNA, 103 nt
Organism: Otolemur garnettii (small-eared galago)
Lineage: Eukaryota; Metazoa; Chordata; Mammalia; Primates; Galagidae
Source: Ensembl